UUAAGCGAACAAGCGUACACGGUGGAUGCCCUGGCAGUCAGAGGCGAUGAAGGACGUGCUAAUCUGCGAAAAGCGCCGGUAAGGUGAUAUGAACCGUUAUAACCGGCGAUGUCCGAAUGGGGAAACCCGGUGCACUUCGGUGCAUCAUCGUUAGCUGAAUACAUAGGCUAACGAAGCGAACCGGGGGAACUGAAACAUCUAAGUACCCCGAGGAAAAGAAAUCAACCGAGAUUCCCCCAGUAGCGGCGAGCGAACGGGGAACAGCCCAGAGCCUGAAUCAGCUUGUGUGUCAGUGGAACGGUCUGGAAAGGCCGGCGAUACAGGGUGACAGCCCCGUACACGAAGGCACACAGGCUGUGAGCUCGAUGAGUAGGGCGGGACACGUGAUAUCCUGUCUGAAGAUGGGGGGACCAUCCUCCAAGGCUAAAUACUCCUGACUGACCGAUAGUGAACCAGUACCGUGAGGGAAAGGCGAAAAGAACCCCGGCGAGGGGAGUGAAACAGAACCUGAAACCGUGUACGUACAAGCAGUGGGAGCCUUCGUAAGAGGGUGACUGCGUACCUUUUGUAUAAUGGGUCAGCGACUUAUAUUCUGUAGCAAGGUUAACCGUAUAGGGGAGCCGAAGGGAAACCGAGUCUUAAUUGGGCGUUAAGUUGCAGGGUAUAGACCCGAAACCCGGUGAUCUAGCCAUGGGCAGGUUGAAGGUUGGGUAACACUAACUGGAGGACCGAACCGACUAAUGUUGAAAAAUUAGCGGAUGACCUGUGGCUGGGGGUGAAAGGCCAAUCAAACCGGGAGAUAGCUGGUUCUCCCCGAAAGCUAUUUAGGUAGCGCCUCGUGAACUCAUCUCCGGGGGUAGAGCACUGUUUCGGCUAGGGGGCCAUCCCGGCUUACCAACCCGAUGCAAACUGCGAAUACCGGAGAAUGUUAUCACGGGAGACACACGGCGGGUGCUAACGUCCGUCGUGAAGAGGGAAACAACCCAGACCGCCAGCUAAGGUCCCAAAGUCAUGGUUAAGUGGGAAACGAUGUGGGAAGGCCCAGACAGCCAGGAUGUUGGCUUAGAAGCAGCCAUCAUUUAAAGAAAGCGUAAUAGCUCACUGGUCGAGUCGGCCUGCGCGGAAGAUGUAACGGGGCUAAACCAUGCACCGAAGCUGCGGCAGCGACACUAUGUGUUGUUGGGUAGGGGAGCGUUCUGUAAGCCUGCGAAGGUGUGCUGUGAGGCAUGCUGGAGGUAUCAGAAGUGCGAAUGCUGACAUAAGUAACGAUAAAGCGGGUGAAAAGCCCGCUCGCCGGAAGACCAAGGGUUCCUGUCCAACGUUAAUCGGGGCAGGGUGAGUCGACCCCUAAGGCGAGGCCGAAAGGCGUAGUCGAUGGGAAACAGGUUAAUAUUCCUGUACUUGGUGUUACUGCGAAGGGGGGACGGAGAAGGCUAUGUCAGCCGGGCGACGGUCGUCCCGGUUUAAGCGUGUAGGCUGACUUUCCAGGCAAAUCCGGAAAGUUAAGGCUGAGGCGUGAUGACGAGGCACCACGGUGCUGAAGUGACAAAUGCCCUGCUUCCAGGAAAAGCCUCUAAGCAUCAGGUAACAUCAAAUCGUACCCCAAACCGACACAGGUGGUCAGGUAGAGAAUACCAAGGCGCUUGAGAGAACUCGGGUGAAGGAACUAGGCAAAAUGGUGCCGUAACUUCGGGAGAAGGCACGCUGACAUGUAGGUGAAGCCCCUGCGGGUGGAGCUGAAGUCAGUCGAAGAUACCAGCUGGCUGCAACUGUUUAUUAAAAACACAGCACUGUGCAAACACGAAAGUGGACGUAUACGGUGUGACGCCUGCCCGGUGCCGGAAGGUUAAUUGAUGGGGUUAUCGCAAGAGAAGCUCCUGAUCGAAGCCCCGGUAAACGGCGGCCGUAACUAUAACGGUCCUAAGGUAGCGAAAUUCCUUGUCGGGUAAGUUCCGACCUGCACGAAUGGCGUAAUGAUGGCCAGGCUGUCUCCACCCGAGACUCAGUGAAAUUGAACUCGCUGUGAAGAUGCAGUGUACCCGCGGCAAGACGGAAAGACCCCGUGAACCUUUACUACAGCUUGACACUGAACAUUGAGCCUUGAUGUGUAGGAUAGGUGGGAGGCUUUGAAGCGUGGACGCCAGUCUGCGUGGAGCCAACCUUGAAAUACCACCCUUUAAUGUUUGAUGUUCUAACCUGGCGCCGUGAUCCGGCGUGGGGACAGUGUCUGGUGGGUAGUUUGACUGGGGCGGUCUCCUCCCAAAGUGUAACGGAGGAGCACGAAGGUCAGCUAAUCCUGGUCGGACAUCAGGAGGUUAGUGCAAUGGCAUAAGCUGGCUUGACUGCGAGAGUGACGGCUCGAGCAGGUGCGAAAGCAGGUCAUAGUGAUCCGGUGGUUCUGUAUGGAAGGGCCAUCGCUCAACGGAUAAAAGGUACUCCGGGGAUAACAGGCUGAUACCGCCCAAGAGUUCAUAUCGACGGCGGUGUUUGGCACCUCGAUGUCGGCUCAUCACAUCCUGGGGCUGAAGUAGGUCCCAAGGGUAUGGCUGUUCGCCAUUUAAAGUGGUACGCGAGCUGGGUUUAGAACGUCGUGAGACAGUUCGGUCCCUAUCUGCCGUGGGCGCUGGAGAAUUGAGGGGGGCUGCUCCCAGUACGAGAGGACCGGAGUGGACGCAUCACUGGUGUUCGGGUUGUCAUGCCAAUGGCACUGCCCGGUAGCUAAAUGCGGAAGAGAUAAGUGCUGAAAGCAUCUAAGCACGAAACUUGCCCCGAGAUGAGUUCUCCCUGAGACUAUAAGUCUCCUGAAGGAACGUUGAAGACGACGACGUUGAUAGGCCGGGUGUGUAAGCGCAGCGAUGCGUUGAGCUAACCGGUACUAAUGAACCGUGAGGCUUAACCUU
Molecule: ribosomal RNA, 2900 nt
Filed under: Cronobacter malonaticus
Lineage: Bacteria; Pseudomonadati; Pseudomonadota; Gammaproteobacteria; Enterobacterales; Enterobacteriaceae
Description: bacterial LSU rRNA
Rfam family: Bacterial large subunit ribosomal RNA
Source: RNAcentral